UGCCAGCAGCCGCGGUAAUACAGAAGCCUCAAGCGUUACCCGGAUUUACUGGGCGUAAAGGGUGUGUAGGUGGUGUGAUUAGUCGGGUGUUAAAUCCUCAGGCUCAACCUGAGGCUCGCAUUCGAAACGGUCAUACUAGAGGAAGUGAGGGGUGUGUGGAACUCAUGGUGUAGGGGUGAAAUCCGUUGAUAUCAUGGGGAACACCAAAAGCGAAGGCAGCACACUGGCACUUUCCUGACACUGAGACACGAAAGCGUGGGUAGCGAACGGGAUUAGAUA
RNAcentral lists this ribosomal RNA (279 nucleotides) under uncultured bacterium. RNAcentral describes it as "partial 16S ribosomal RNA". It matches the Rfam family "Bacterial small subunit ribosomal RNA", at positions 506 to 784 of the family's 1533-position model. The record is from RNAcentral.